This 206-nucleotide ribosomal RNA is filed under the name uncultured bacterium. Its description in RNAcentral is "partial 16S ribosomal RNA". It matches the Rfam family "Bacterial small subunit ribosomal RNA", at positions 568 to 774 of the family's 1533-position model. The record is from RNAcentral.
GGUGUAGACGGUUUUUAAGUCGGGUGUGAAAUCUCCUAACUCAAUUAGGAGAGGUCAUUCGAUACUGGGAGACUUGAGGGCAGCAGAGGAAGGCGGAACUCCCGGUGUAGCGGUGAUAUGCGUAGAUAUCGGGAGGAACACUAGUGGCGAAGGCGGCCUUCUAGGCUGUUCCUGACGUUGAGGCCCAAAAGCGUGGGGAGCGAAAC